GUUUCGUAGGUGACCUGCGGAGGAUCAUUA
Molecule: ribosomal RNA, 30 nt
Filed under: uncultured fungus
Lineage: Eukaryota; Fungi
Description: partial 18S ribosomal RNA
Source: RNAcentral